UUCUGAGAAUUCAGGAUGUGUGUUGCAGGCCCCUCCCUCUCUCAUUUGAGCCAACCCAGCCCUUGAGACUCGGAUCCCUACAGGGUUUAUAUAAUGUGGUACCCUUGGAGAUCUGAGGUCUAGCCCUCUUUGCCAGUAUAAACUGGAUGGUCAAGGGGAGGGGGUUAGAAGCAUCCCUGUCUGCAUUCUGUGUGCUUCUUUAAUUGCUCUUGGAAGAAAAGCUGUCACAGGAUCUAGUAGACUGGAUUUUUCUCCCUUUUCUCGUAAAUUCAAAGUUGGCAUAGGGUCACUGACUGGCAACAGCCAUCCAUUUUUCCAGACUGGAGUCUUUCCCAGCCCUACCUGGAGAUAUGAGGAACUGAACCCGGACCUUCUGCAUGUAACAAACUUGUACUGUCUACCACUAAUUGCAGAGGACUGAGAUUGUGAUUUCUAUCAUCUUUAUAAUCAUCAAGAAAUCUGUUGUAUUCAAGAGCUGGUUUUCAUCCAACACACUUAUAAGAUCAGAUGACAACCACCCACAAAGCAUACUCCCAUGUAAGUGUUAACGGCGUUCAGGAUUUCCUAAAAUCCUGAAAUACCUAGGUAAAUGCUGUGUAAUGUGUGGAGAACGUGUGGCCCUGCUGCCCAGUGAAUUCUAUAUAUCAUCCCUGGAGCCAGAAAAUCUUAUUAACCAUAUAAGCCAGUGGCAAAUGUUCCACUCCUGGGUAAGGUCCUUGAGCAGGUGGUUGCGGAUCCAUUUCAGUCGGGUUUUAGGCCUGGCUUUGGUACUGAAGCAGCCUUGAUCGCCCUUUAUCAUGACCUAUGUUGGGAAAAAGACAGGGAUUCUCCUUGAUCUCAGUGGCUUUCAGUACCAUUGAUGCAUUGACCAUAGUAUCCUUCUGGGACGACUGAGUUGGGAGUGGGAGGUACUGCAUUGCAGUGGUUCUGCUCCUACUUGGCGGGUGGGUUCCAGAAGGUGGUGCUUGGGGGACAUUGCUCAGCCCCGUGGAUUUGCCAGUAUGGGGUUCCACUGGUGUCAGUUUUGUCCCCCAUGCUGGUCAACAUCUACAUGAAAUCACUGAGUGUGGUCAUCCAGAGUUUUGGAGUGCGUUGCUAUCAGUACACUGAUGACAUGCAGCUCUGUUUCUCCUCAUCUUCACCAGUUGAGGCUGUGGAUGUGCUGAACCGGGCCUGGCUGUGACAACGGACUGGAUGAGGGCUAAUAAACUGAAACUCAAUCCAGACAAGAUUGAGAUCGUGUUAGUGGGUGGUUCUUCUGACCAGAUGGUGUUCAACCUGUUCUGGAUGGGGUUGCACUCCCCCUGAAGGAGCAGGUUCAUAUCUUGCGGGUUCUCCUAGAACCUUCUCUGUCCCUUGAGGCUCAGGUGCCCACGGUGGCAUGGAGUGCGUUCUACCAACUUUGGUUGGUGGCCCAGCUAUGCCCCUAUCUGGACAUGGAUAACCUAGCUUCAGUCGUCCAUGCCCUGGUAACCUCCAAAUUAGAUUUCUGCAAUGCACUCUACGUGGGGCUGCCUUUGAAGACAGUUCAGAAGCUGCAGCUUGUGCAAAAUGCAGCAGCCAGGUUAAUAACGGGGACCAGAAGGUUUAAACAUAUAUGACCGACUCUGGCCCGCUUGCAUUGGCUGUCUAUGUUUCCGAGCUUGAAUCAAGAUACUGGUUCUACUCACGGUGUUACUACCCUCCUGCAAGGGUGAGAGACCCAUUCGGAUGGUCCGCCCCAGGAGACUGAUGGAAUCCAGUGGAUUUCUGAAUGCUCUUGGGGAUUUUCCAGUGGAGAGAGCUGGUGAUCCAGCCAAGGCCCUAGCUUCACUGUGGAAUGGUGAAAUGUGGAGGGCCAUCGACUUGAUCGCACCUGAGUGCCUUCUCCAGUCCUGUAGAGCCCGCUCUGCUCCUUGGUAUACUAAGGAGUUGCGGGUCAAUGAAAUAGGCUGGACGUCGGCUGGAGCGCAAAUGGCGCAAGACUCGAAGCGAAGAUGACCGAGCACGCUGUAGAGCGCAUAAUCGUGCCUAUUGCAUGGCAGUGUGGGCAGCAAAGAAGGCUUAUUUUGCUGCCUCCAUUGCGUCCUCGAGUAGCCGUCCAGCGGAGCUCUUCCGGGUGGUCCGGGGGCUGCUAACAUCAUCCCCAGCAAAUGGGGCCCCGGCUCCAUCAAGGACCUGCUGUGACCUUUUUGCAUCACACUUUGAGGACAAGAUCGCUUCUCUCUGCAGCGAGCUUGACAUUGUUUUUAGUGCAGCUCCAGUUGAGGUGUCCGAUGCCACCAUCUGCCCAAUUUUGUGGGAUCAGUUCCGGUUAUUGCGGCCUGAUGAUGUGGACAAGGUGCUUGCAGCAGUGCGACCGACCACUUGCCCUCUUGAUCCCUGUCCCUCCUGGCUUAUAAAAGCAAGCCGAGGGGGUCUGACUGGGUGGGUCCAAGGGGUGAUAAAUGCUUCUCUCCGGGAAGGGGUGGUCCCUGCUGUCCUUAAGGAGGCAGUAGUGCGACCACUCCUGAAGAAGCCCACCCUGGACCCGAUGGUAUUAGGCAACUACCGCCCAGUUGCUAACACUCCUUUUUUAGGGAAGGUACUUGAGAGGGUUGUGGCGGAGCAACUGCAGGCACUCUUGGAGGAUACUGAUUAUCUAGAUCCAUUCCAGUCUGGGUUCCGAUCUGGUUACGGGACUGAAUCAGCCUUGGUCGCCCUGAUAGAUGACCUUUAUCGAGAGAGGGACAGGGGGAAUGCAACCCUGUUAAUCCUGUUCGAUCUCUCGGCGGCUUUUGAUACCAUCAACCAUGGUAUCCUCCUGGAUCGACUCCAUGGGAUGGGCAUCGGAGGCACUGUUUACAGUGGUUCCGGUCCUACCUACGGGGUCAUUUUCAGAGAGUAGCAUUGGGUGACCAGUCCUCGGCCUCUUGGCAAUUGAGCUAUGGAGUGUUGCAGGGCACCAUCUUGUCCCCAAUGUUAUUUAACAUCUAUAUGAAGCCGUUGGGAGCGGUCAUUAGGGGAUUUGGAGCUAAAUGCCAUCAAUACGCUGAUGACACGCAGCUCUAUCUCCCUGUGACAACUGAAUCAGGUGAGGCUGUGCAGGUCCUGGACCAGUGCCUAGACUCAGUAAUGGGCUGGAUGAGGGCCAAUAAACUGAGACUGAAUCCCUACAAGACGGAAGCCCUGUGGGUGAGUGGUUCCCGAGUCCGGGAGACAAGCUCAUUGCCUGUUCUGGAUGGGGUUGCUCUGCCUCUGAAAGAACAGGUUCGUAGUUUGGGGGGACUCUUAGACCCGUUUCUGUUGUUGGAGGCUCAAGUAGCCGCCAUGGCUUGGAGUGCCUUUUACCAUCUUCGGUUGGUUCACCAACUACGGCCUCUCCUGGACAGGGAUAGCUUGACCACGGUGGUACAGGCAUUGGUAACCUCAAGAUUGGAUUACUGCAACGCGCUCUAUGUGGGGCUGCCCUUGAAGCUGCUCCGGAAGCUGGAGCUAGUGCAGAAUGCUGCAGCUCGGCUGUUGUCUAGAGCUGCCCCUUUCCAGCAUGUAACUCCUCUGCUGAGGGAACUGCACUGGCUGCCUAUUCGCUACAGGGCCAGGUUUAAGGUUCUUGUACUUGUGUACAAAGCCCUAAACAACUUGGGACCAGGAUACCUGAGAGAGCGCCUUUUCCCUUACCAACCUGCCCGGUCACUGAGGUCAUCCAAAGGCCUGCUCCUGGUGGUUCCACAUAGAUCCAUCCCUGCCUCUAGAGGUCAGGCAGGCUCUAACCUUGUACUCCUUUCGGCGCCUCCUGAAAACAUCUUUAUUCCAAGAAGCCUUUCUUUAACAUGCAGCCUUGGAUUUCUGUUUUUUGCUCCUUUUUAAAUUUUGUUUUAACUGUUUUAUUCUGUUUUUAUUUUCAUUUUACCUUGUACACCGCUCAGAAAUUUUUCAAUGGGGAGCGGUAUAUAAACAUUCUAAAUAAAUAAAUAAAUCAAGCCUUACACAGCUUUGGACCACAAUACCUGACGGAACGCCUUUUCCAACAUGAACCUACCCAUAUACUACGUUCAACAUCCAAGGUCCUCCUCUGGGUGCCUACUGAGGGAGGCUCGGAAGACAGCAACAAGUGAGAGGGCCUUGUUUGUGGUGCCCCCCCCCCCCAUUAUGGAAUGAUCUCCCUGAUGAGGCCCACCUAGUGCCAACAUGGUUAUCCUUUUGGCACCAGGUCAAAACUUUUCUGACAGGCAUUUAGCAAUAUGUGAUGAGUUUCACCAAUCCUGGAUCUGUUUUUAGAUUUAUAGCUUAAAGUUGUUUUUAGAUGUACCGUAUGUUUGUGUGGUAUUAAAUUUUGUAUAUUGUU
This is an RNA transcript of Elgaria multicarinata webbii, 4306 nucleotides long. RefSeq lists it as uncharacterized. The transcript has 3 exons. The record is from RefSeq and is a predicted model, not a curated record. Lineage: Eukaryota; Metazoa; Chordata; Lepidosauria; Squamata; Anguidae.